Cordylochernes scorpioides is the source of this 75-nucleotide non-coding RNA. Lineage: Eukaryota; Metazoa; Arthropoda; Arachnida; Pseudoscorpiones; Chernetidae. The record is from the annotation of a GenBank genome assembly.
GUCCAGGGGCGGGAAUCGAACCCACACAACCUUCCGCUUACCGGGCAGAUGCCAUGUCCACUAGGCUACCCUGGA